Molecule: long non-coding RNA, 343 nt
Organism: Erpetoichthys calabaricus (reedfish)
Lineage: Eukaryota; Metazoa; Chordata; Cladistia; Polypteriformes; Polypteridae
Exons: 3
Source: RefSeq, a predicted model, not a curated record
CCUUGCAAGCCCGAUUUUGUAAGUGCAAGAGCUGGGGGCGGAGGAAAGUCGCACAAGGUGCAGGUCUCAUCAGGUAAGCCGAACUAUUCUCAGAGCUGAAGAGAAAGUAGAAGUUUUGAAGCUGCAGAAUAACAAUUCUUUUCAUAAUGGAAGAUAUGAACAGGCUGACAUCUGAAGACCUGUCAGAAUCUUCUGACAAGAAAGUAGGGUCACAGAAAACAGUGAAGCAAACCUCAGGUGUGCCCUUUGCUCUGCUCACAAGGAGCUCCAGCCUGGAGAAGUUAAUAGACCUGAGCCAAGACCAGCCUUCAGAGACUACUUCUUCAUUACUUGGCAGGUAAGA